GUCCAUAGCAGUCUGUUGUGGGUCCAUAGCAGUCUGUUGUGGGUCUAUAGCAGUCUGUUGUGGGUCUAUAGCAGUCUGUUGUGGGUCCAUAGUGAUGUGAGCACAGAGAGACGGCAUGACUCUGUUAUGUGGCCUCCUUAGUUACAACCUGAUAGAUUUUCAUAGAGGGACCAGUUAUUCACUACUCAGGAGCUAUAAGGCAGGUCACACACACACACACACACACACACACACACACACACACACACACACACACACACACACACACACACACACACACACACACACACACACACACACACACACACACACACACACACACACACACACACACACA
This is a long non-coding RNA of Oncorhynchus keta (chum salmon), 337 nucleotides long. RefSeq lists it as uncharacterized. NCBI's taxonomy places the organism in Eukaryota, Metazoa, Chordata, Actinopteri, Salmoniformes, Salmonidae. The record is from RefSeq and is a predicted model, not a curated record. The transcript is spliced from 2 exons.